This 279-nucleotide ribosomal RNA is filed under the name uncultured bacterium. RNAcentral describes it as "partial 16S ribosomal RNA". It matches the Rfam family "Bacterial small subunit ribosomal RNA", at positions 506 to 784 of the family's 1533-position model. The record is from RNAcentral.
UGCCAGCAGCCGCGGUAAUACGGGGGAUGCAAGUGUUAUCCGGAAUUACUGGGCUUAAAGAGUUCGUAGGUGGUUGAAAUAGUUGGUGGUGAAAUCCCAGAGCUUAACUCUGGAACUGCCAUCAAAACUUUUCAGCUAGAGUAUGAUAGAGGAAAGCAGAAUUUCUAGUGUAGAGGUGAAAUUCGUAGAUAUUAGAAAGAAUACCAAUUGCGAAGGCAGCUUUCUGGAUCAUUACUGACACUGAGGAACGAAAGCAUGGGUAGCGAAGAGGAUUAGAUA